GAUGAACGCUGGCGGCGUGCCUAAUACAUGCAAGUAGAACGCUGAGUUAAUAAGCUUGCUCUUUCCAGCAUAGUUUCGGACUUGUGAGUAACUCGGAAAUAAGCUGCCUGGUAGCGGGGGAGAGCGGUUGGAAACGAGAGCUAAUACCGCAUAACAGUAGAUUUUUCAUUAUAUCUACAUAAUAAAUUCAAUUGCGCCACUGCAAGAUUAACCUGCGUUGUAUUAGCGAGUUGGUGAGGUAACGACUCACCUAGGCGACGAUACAUAGCCGACCUGAGAGGGUGAUCGGCCACACUGGGACUGAGACACGGCCCAGACUCCUACGGGAGGCAGCAGUAGGGAAUCUUCGGCAAUGGACGGAAGUCUGACCGAGCAACGCCGCGUGAGUGAAGAAGGUUUUCGGAUCGUAAAGCUCUGUUGUAAGAGAAGAACGAGUGUGAGAGUGGAAAGUUCACACUGUGACGGUAUCUUACCAGAAAGGGACGGCUAACUACGUG
Molecule: ribosomal RNA, 497 nt
Filed under: uncultured bacterium
Lineage: Bacteria
Description: partial 16S ribosomal RNA
Rfam family: Bacterial small subunit ribosomal RNA
Source: RNAcentral